Molecule: ribosomal RNA, 203 nt
Filed under: uncultured Acholeplasma sp.
Lineage: Bacteria; Bacillati; Mycoplasmatota; Mollicutes; Acholeplasmatales; Acholeplasmataceae
Description: partial 16S ribosomal RNA
Rfam family: Bacterial small subunit ribosomal RNA
Source: RNAcentral
UGACGUCAAAUCAUCAUGCCCUUAUGACCUGGGCUACAAACGUGAUACAAUGGCUGAAACAAAGGGCAGCGAAGGAGCGAUCUGGAGCGAAACCCAAAAAAGCAGUCUCAGUUCGGAUUGAAGGUCUGCAACUCGACUUCAUGAAGUCGGAAUCGCUAGUAAUCGCGGAUCAGCAUGCCGCGGUGAAUACGUUCCCGGGCCUU